RNAcentral lists this long non-coding RNA (521 nucleotides) under Pan troglodytes (chimpanzee). RNAcentral describes it as "long non-coding RNA NONPTRT006813". The record is from RNAcentral. Lineage: Eukaryota; Metazoa; Chordata; Mammalia; Primates; Hominidae.
GUGGAUCAGAAAACCGCCAUUACCACUUGUCUUUGGUAUUCAUAGCCACUGAAUAAAAAGCAAAGUGAAAGAAAGACUGAGAGAACCCAUCACACACGCUUUGUCUCUGUGUGAUGCUCUGUUAUAAGCAUCCUUAGGCUUCAUUUGAUUCCACAAUCUCAGGCCUGUGACAGGAACCCGUGUCUUUAGAUGCAGCCUGCCAUGCUCCAGGCCUCCCACUAACUGGAACUUUCUCAGCCUAAACAUUUCUUUCUUAAAUUCCUCCUGAAACUUGGAGUUAUACCCUUGAUACCACCCACAGAUGUCUUUCUCCUUUGGCUGUUUAUUCUAUUAGCAGUUAUUGCCUCAUCAAUCCCCCUCUUUCACUAUGAAUUGGUACAAAUUUAUCAUCGGAUCCAGGAACUGAGAAGGAGGGCACAAAAUGGACUCAGGCUGAACACUCCAAGCCAUUUCCCUAAGUGAUUGAAGGAAUAUAGGGGGCACAAAAGCCAGAAGAUAAUUUAAGUAAAAAUACUGGUACA